RNAcentral lists this long non-coding RNA (757 nucleotides) under Numida meleagris (helmeted guineafowl). RNAcentral describes it as "lncRNA (ENSNMEG00000017950.1)". The record is from RNAcentral. Lineage: Eukaryota; Metazoa; Chordata; Aves; Galliformes; Numididae.
GGAAACAGCAAUUGCCCGCAGCUGUUACUCUGUUUAUGUGCAGAGGAACAAUCACCUGUUGCAAAGGCAGCAAUAAUCCAGCCUGUUCUGUGGACACAUUUGACUAAUUUUGACUGUUUUGAACUGCGAUGCCUUGCUCUCCUUGAACUUGCUGCAAAAGGCAGCUCUUCCAGCAAGUGGAAGCAGCUGAGCCUCAUUUGGUCCCAAAAGGCUGUUUUCCAAAAACAUGGGAGACUGAGAUGGAUCUCGAUGUCCUUGGGAAGACAGCAGAGGCUGACGUCCUCCCCACCACACCGGGUUGAAGUGCAGUCCCCAUCACAUGCUGAGGGCAGAGCAGUGCUCAGAGGUGCCCCUUGGGUUUAGGACAAUUUCCUGAAGAUGCUCAGGCUGGCUUGGCCCAUGGAACUGACAAAUCCCAGGCCAGCUGAGGUACUCUGAGCAGCUCUGUCUGUACUUUUCCAUUGAUCCUUUGCCUAGAUAUAUAGUUCUGAUUUUGUCUGUGUCAUGGGAAGAUGUCAUCUUGAUCCCUCUACAAGGCUUUCAAAUAGUAACAUUUUGUUUGAAGGGAAAAGGAAAGAAAAAAGCAAGUGACAAAGAGCACUUAAUCAGUAUUACUCAGUAUGUUUACAUUUAUGCUUGAAGAUGAGCAACAUGAUGUAUUUCUGUUCGUGUUCAUGUGGAUAAAAACCUUCUAUGCAAUUGCUAUGACCUACCAUUUAAAAAUAAAUAAUAACACACUAAGGCUUCUUAAUGGUUC